Daktulosphaira vitifoliae (grape phylloxera) is the source of this 1146-nucleotide long non-coding RNA. RefSeq lists it as uncharacterized. The record is from RefSeq and is a predicted model, not a curated record. Lineage: Eukaryota; Metazoa; Arthropoda; Insecta; Hemiptera; Phylloxeridae. The transcript is spliced from 2 exons.
CCGGUAUUUGUUAUUUAUAAAUAUUAAAAAUAUGUUCCUGUACUUACUGGUAAAAAUUAUUGUGACAUUACCAAUCCAUCUGGUAAUCCACAUGAGCUCAAAGACAUUCGUACGAGAUAGUGUAAAUUUGCGUAAUAAUAUAAUUAAAAAAUAAUUAUCCGGAUUCGAUUACUGAUAAGUCAUCGGGUGCUUGUGCUCGCGAUGAGACUCAUCCGCUCGUUGUCCACGUUCAGAGCGAGACGAAACUAUGGACGCACAACGUAUAAUAUUUUACAUUAUUAUGUCUCAGGAUUCAAGUUAUAGACAUUUGUACACUAGCGCAUUCUUCUUUUCUUUACACGACGACUUCCUUUAACUUCGCACCAAGGUCGUCACUCACACGCCAUCACUUGCCUAUGUACCAUUUCCAUCCAUGCGUGCUCCUGGCACACCCCCCAAAAAAACCCUAUUUUUGAAAAUUCAUUCAUGACCAAUAUACAUUGUCUCGUUUGUCCAAUAUAUCAUGGUUCACGAUUCAUAGGUUUCAUGACAUUCAGGAAACACAGCCAAUAAGUCAUGGUAAUGAGAUUCCUGAUUCAAUAUUUUAAUUCAAAAGGGUCUAAAUCUAAUACAUAAAUGUGUCAGACGAAACUAUGAUAAAUUAUAGAUAGUUAUAAAUGAAUAGACACGAAGAAGAGGCUUCAUUGGACUUGGCUUGUAAUCUUAUCGGUUUGAACAUUUUUUUUUUUUUAUUGAUAAUUUAUAGAUAGCCCUCGGGCUACUUAAUUUUUGUACUCAAUACUUUGAGCGCAGAUACCUGUAACAAUGAACACGUGCCGUUUUUUGAAGGUUCGACACAUUUUGUUGACUUAAUAAGAUACACAACGAACGUUAGCCAUCGAUCAUAUGGAAAAUCUUACUAGAGACAUAAUUUAAUUGAUUUAUUGUUAUCUGUUUAUUUUUAAGCCUUGCGCCGAGACGAGUACAAAUCGUGUGUUUAUUAUAAGAUGUGUUAUAAUAGCAGCAAGAACUAGUGUUAAAAAAAGAAAGAAAAAAAAACCAUUGUGCGGAGAUAUUAUACCUGCGGAUGCCACAGCUGUUUGACAAUUGUGUAUUAAAUAGUCGCUGAAUAACUAUGCUUGGGGACGAGAAUUACCCCUUUUACGU